This 274-nucleotide ribosomal RNA is filed under the name uncultured bacterium. Its description in RNAcentral is "partial 16S ribosomal RNA". It matches the Rfam family "Bacterial small subunit ribosomal RNA", at positions 523 to 796 of the family's 1533-position model. The record is from RNAcentral.
AUACGGAGGGACCAAGCGUUGUUCGGAAUUAUUGGGCGUAAAGCGCGUGUAGGCGGCCUAGCAAGUCGGUUGUGAAAUCCCCAGGCUCAACCUGGGAACUGCAAUCGAAACUGCUGAGCUCGAGUCCCGGAGAGGAAAGCAGAAUUCCCAGUGUAGGGGUGAAAUCCGUAGAUAUUGGGAGGAAUACCAGUUGCGAAGGCGGCUUUCUGGACGGUGACUGACGCUGAGACGCGAAAGCGUGGGGAGCAAACAGGAUUAGAUACCCCAGUAGUCC